RNAcentral lists this ribosomal RNA (200 nucleotides) under uncultured bacterium. Its description in RNAcentral is "partial 16S ribosomal RNA". It matches the Rfam family "Bacterial small subunit ribosomal RNA", at positions 337 to 534 of the family's 1533-position model. The record is from RNAcentral.
UCCUACGGGAGGCAGCAGUGAGGAAUAUUGGUCAAUGGACGGGAGUCUGAACCAGCCAAGUAGCGUGCAGGACGACGGCCCUAUGGGUUGUAAACUGCUUUUAUAGGGGGAUAAAGUGUGCCACGUGUGGCAUAUUGCAGGUACCCUAUGAAUAAGGACCGGCUAAUUCCGUGCCAGCAGCCGCGGUAAUACGGAAGGUC